CAAAUAUUCGGCUGCAAUACAUAUCGUCUUCUUCUUUCGCUCUCAUACUUGUCACUCAGUCUUCAGCUGAGCUAAAAGGGAUGCCGUGCUGAGAGUAAAUGAGUCUGCGGAAUACCCAAAUCAAUAAAACUCAGUUCCACGUUUUCAAUGCAACUUUGCCCACAGCACGCCCACACAUACACACGAGCGCGCAGCGGCCUGUAACUGCUUCUAACGGAGCUGUCAUUUAAAGAAAAGCCCGUAUUUCGUUCGCCGGUUGCUUAUAUCCUGGCCUUCU
Etheostoma cragini (Arkansas darter) is the source of this 277-nucleotide long non-coding RNA. RefSeq lists it as uncharacterized. The transcript is spliced from 3 exons. NCBI's taxonomy places the organism in Eukaryota, Metazoa, Chordata, Actinopteri, Perciformes, Percidae. The record is from RefSeq and is a predicted model, not a curated record.